RNAcentral lists this ribosomal RNA (433 nucleotides) under uncultured bacterium. Its description in RNAcentral is "partial 16S ribosomal RNA". It matches the Rfam family "Bacterial small subunit ribosomal RNA", at positions 36 to 507 of the family's 1533-position model. The record is from RNAcentral.
CUCUCCCUCUUUCUUCAGGCUUAACACAUGCAAGUCGAGCGGGCACUUCGGUGUCAGCGGCAGACGGGUGAGUAACGCGUGGGAACGUACCCUUCGGUUCGGAAUAACGCUGGGAAACUAGCGCUAAUACCGGAUACGCCCUUUUGGGGAAAGGUUUACUGCCGAAGGAUCGGCCCGCGUCUGAUUAGCUAGUUGGUGGGGUAAUGGCCUACCAAGGCGACGAUCAGUAGCUGGUCUGAGAGGAUGAUCAGCCACACUGGGACUGAGACACGGCCCAGACUCCUACGGGAGGCAGCAGUGGGGAAUAUUGGACAAUGGGCGCAAGCCUGAUCCAGCCAUGCCGCGUGAGUGAUGAAGGCCUUAGGGUUGUAAAGCUCUUUUGUCCGGGACGAUAAUGACGGUACCGGAAGAAUAAGCCCCGGCUAACUUCGUG